RNAcentral lists this long non-coding RNA (5054 nucleotides) under Marmota monax (woodchuck). The record is from RNAcentral. Lineage: Eukaryota; Metazoa; Chordata; Mammalia; Rodentia; Sciuridae.
UCCAGGUCCUAACCCUAGAUUCAACAGACUGUCAGCUAUUGAACACUUACAUGUACUAACUCAUGAGGUGAGUUCUGUUAUUCCUUCCUCAUUGACUGAUGAAAAUGUUGAGGCACAGAGAGGUUGAAUGAUUUAUCCAAGGUCACCCAGUUAGGAAGUAACCAAGCCUCGGGUCUUUCCCUGGUUCAGAUGGCUAUUCUCCACCUUCCAAUUCUUCUGCACCCUCCGGCCUCACACCAGGCCCUAGCUUUGACCCCAGAGGGGACUGUGAGUUCAAACCGUGACUUCUCCAGAGCUUUGGGCAAAACCAGGAAAUUCCCUGAAACCCCCCAAAGUCCGGGUUCCCCCAAGUUUAACUAAAAGAGAGCACAGUAUCCCUGCUUGCAAAGCUGCUGUGAGAAAAAUGUGAUAAAAAUAAUUAAGGACUCGUACAUGAUAAAAAUAAUUAUAGGGUUCCUGGCAAAUAGCCUGAGCUGUAGAGAUACUAAUGAUAGCAGGAGUUUAUGGCCCUCUGGGCCCAGCCUUUUGGAGGCUGGGGUGAUAGCAGCUGAGUUCACAAGUGGGGUCACAGAUAGAAAACUCUUUUCCUGGGGAGAGGCCUGCCCAUCUCUCCUUCCUGGCCUGGGCAGUGAUUUCAGGGCCAGCAGAAGGCCACGCCCCCGGCCCAGUGGGCCAACAUCUGGUCAGGCAUUGAGCUCUUGCCGCUUUUCUUUCUAAACACCUGUAAGCAAUUAGCACUUUCCAGUGACUUGGUUCAUUCAUUAAUCCUUUGGGCCCCAAGGGAAGGCAGGGAACAGAUGCUGGCAGUAGAAGAGGUGGGACAGACCUAGAGGGGACAGGAUUCAUUCUUCCUGUAUCAGGUUGAAGUUUGCGGAGGGAACUGGGCCUGGGAUGCCAGGGAUAAACCCAGAAUCACAAAGAGCCCUGGGCUGGGGGAAAUCAGCCUUGGACCUUGGUUCCCAACUCCAAUGAUGGUAGUUAGUCUCAUCACCACAAAUAGAGCUGAGAGAGGCUUGUCCCUUUGGCCACCAAUGCUCUCUGAGGAUGCUAGACCUCCCUGCGGUGUUCACAGCUAAUUCUUACACAUUAGAAAUCCACCCUAGUAUUGCUUUUAUAAAAACGGAACCUACUUAUCACAAUAGUGGGUGCAAUCCAUACCUAAAAGAAGAUAAAGAAAACUCAAAUUCGAACAACAUAGAGAUGCACAAAGGGGAAAGUUCAAAAUGCCAAAGGUUUAUUCCCUAAAGAAUCACCCUUAGAAAAGGAGGCAGAGCUUUGCGAUCACAAGCACAGCCUCCCAGGCCCACACGCCUGGUCCCCAAGCCGCUUGCACCCUGGCAUUCACCAAACUUGUAAUCAUUACAAUUUUACUUGUAAUAAUAUUUGUGAAUUAUCAUUCCACAAUUUUUUUUUUAAUUCCAAAGAGCAACAUACCCCAGGCAUAAAAUCUUUAGUUUGGAUGGGAUGUUUCGCAAAGCUAAAAUGAGAACUGGGUCAUGACUCUCAACACAUUGUAGGAUCUCAUAGUAAGGAUUCCUUGAGUGGAAGCCCUUGCUGCGAUCACAUUAUCAUUAUGAUUGUCACAUCCUUGUGUCUUUCUCUAUUGCUGAUUGGCUGGAGCGCCCCCGUGUGUCUGUAUUGUGUCACAGCACCCCAGUCACUGCCCAAAGCACCCUUUAUCCCAGUUUGGAGUCUCAAUUUCGAAAGGCAUUGUUUUUCUUAUCUUUCACUUCAAGACCAUAUUUUAAAACAAAGUACCCAAAUCCACAUCAGGCCAACAGACCCUAACUCCAAUCCAAGCCUUGCCAUGACGAUCCUGAAGGGCAUCAGAAGGAAGGCAGAAGGGAACUUGCCCUCUACCUCACCUGGACUCAAGGGCAACUUUGAACGUGAUCCAGCUUCCCAGGAAGUGCCAUGAUAAUACUGGAGAGUGGCAUUGCACAGGCUAAAAAAAAUGCUUUCACAUUAGUGAUCAUCACAGCUAGCUCUCAGCGACCACUUCCUGCCUGCCAGGCCCCAUGUUAAGGCUUAGAUGAUCACUUUUUCCUUUAAUCUUUAAAUACCCUAUAGGCAUAUGUUGUUUUCUAGCCUGUUCCUGGCCCCCCCCCCCGCCCCAACAGUAAGCUUUGGGCAUCUUUCCAUGUCAGUAAAUAUAGCUGGGUCGGUAAGUACUUGAUUCAAAGGCUGAGAAACUUAAACAGUCAGCAGCCACUGCCCAGGUGAAGAUCGAUAAUAGUUAACAUUUAUUGAGUGCUUUAUUACACAGCAGGGCCCAUGCUAAUUGGAAUUAUCUCUCAUUUGAUUCCUGAGGCAAUUCCAAGGGAGCUUCUAGUAUUUUUCAGAUGAGGAACCUGUAGCUUUAAGAGGCAGAGGAGCCCAUCUAAAGUCAGGCAGCUGGUGAAAAUGGAUCAAACCCACGGUCAGCCAGCAUAUUUGAAGGACAUAUAGAGGAAGACACAGCGAAAGGCUUUCCAAGUGUUCUAAGAAUCCACUGACAAGGCCUGAAGGCAGGCAGGAGGGUGGGGGGCUAAGAUGAAUUUCCGAAAAGUCAUGGUCCUCCAUGGAAGGGACAGGAAGGCUUCCUGGAGGUGGUGUCAUUCGGACUGAUUCUUUUUUCUUCUCCAGACAAGAAAGAAGGCCUUAUAAUUUCACCCAUGUCUCAUAUCUUCACCCCCACCACACCUUCUUGCUCCUGGUAACCACUAUUAUAUUUUCUACCACUGUUUUGUGUUUUUUUGUUUGUUUUUUACUCUUCCACAUAUAAGUGAGAUCAUGCAGUAUUUUUGUCUUUCUAGGUCUGGCUUAUUGCACUUAGAGUAAUGUUCUCCAGGUCCAUCUAUGUUGCAGCAAAUGGCAGGAUCUCCUUUUUUAAGGCCGAAUAAUAUUUCACCAUGUAUAUAUAUCACAUCUGCCAGUAGACACCUGGGCUGCUUCCACCCCUCGACUGUUGUGAAUGAUGCUGCUGUGAAGCUUGGGGCUACAGACAUCUUUACAACGUGGUGGGUCCUGCAGUAACUUACCAGUUCCUCAGCUAUUUCGCAUCAGACACACCUGGGCUCCAAUCUUAACUAUGGCACUCUAUUUCUUUUCCCUAAAUGGCAUUAUUGAGAUAUAACUGAUGUACAAGAAAUUACACAUAUUUUUUUAAAGAGAGAGAGAGAAAGAGAAUUUUAAUAUUUAUUUUUUAGUUUUUCGGUGGAUACAACAUCUUUGUUUGUAUGUGGAGCUGGUGAUCGAACCCGGGCCGCACGCAUGCCAGGCGGGCGCGCUACCGCUUGGGCCACAUCCCCAGCCCCAAAUUACACAUAUUUAAAUUGCAAAAUUUGAUAAGUCUUCAUGAAAGCAAGCCCUUGUCCUGGAGUGGGGGAGCAGAGGCCCAGGUGGGCUGGAGUGCAUAUGGCCAGCGCAGGCCGUGGCUGCAAGAGCCCACCCUGCCAGUGUGGGCCGGAGGUGGCCAGCCAGGGUCUAGGCGAGCCAGCGUGUAACGGACCUGUCACCUGGUGGCAGCCUAGCCUGUUCCUGGUGCAGAUGCCCACUCUGUGCAGCACCACAGCUCUGAAUCCCCUACCCCUGCGUCCACCAGCCAACAACCUCAACCUCCCACUUGCACACAAGCAGCGGGAAAAUGGAAGCGGGGCAGACCCAAAUGGGCUGCGGGGCUAACCAACAGCACUGGUAUCAAUGCUGAUCAGAAGAAAGUUUGGACCAAUAGCAUUGACCCAAGUGCUCUAUAAACCCCUAGACUAGCACACUCCAGUGGCAGCCCCCUAGGGGGACCCCUCUGUGAGAGUUCUGUUUCUGUUCUUAACCCUUGAGUAAAUCCUCCUCCUUUCCCUCUUGCCUUCUGUUGUCCUUGAAUUGCAGUCUUCAGGUCUGUGAGACAAGAACCUGGGAAGAAGCUGGCCGGAGCUGCUGGAGUCCGCUCCAACACGGGGGGGGGGGGGCAUGGCCCCCAUUUAGAGCCACGACAUGCCACUCGCCACUCAGUGGUAAUGGAGGAGAAUCAGCUUUGCUGGCUGAGACCCUCAGAGGCUGAAGCUGGUAGGCAUCUCCUGCUGUGUAGCUGCUGACACUGAAGCAGGCUUUCAGCUUGUACAGCAGAAGCAGAGAAUCCAGUUUGGUCUUGAACUCUGGUUUCGUUAACAUAUUUCAGCACCCCAGGAACCAGCACCACAACUAAAGUGACAAAUGUUUCCACUGCCCUCAUAGUUUUCUCCUGCUCCUUGAGGUCACCUUCCCCUCACCACCCCCAAUCCCCAGGCAGCUUGGUCCCUACCAAUUAUUUCCUUUCACUAUAGAUGACUGUAUUUUCUGGACAUUCAUAGAAAUGAAAUCAUACAAUUUGUACUCGUUUGCUUUCUUCAGAAAUCUUGUUUUCAGGUACGGGUUGUUUGUUCCCUUUCAUUGCAAAGUCAUGUCAACACACACAAAUGGCUCCUGACUUAGGUUUGACUCAUGAUCUUUUUGGCUCUACGACAACAUCAUCUUCAAUAUGAAUCAUAUAAGACAUUCAAUGCUUUAUUAUAAAACAGGCUUUGUGUUAUGUGACUUUUCCCACCUUCAGGCUGAUGUAUUCUGAGCACGUUUAAGGUAGGCUGGGCGAAGCCACCGUAUCCAGUAGGUUCGGUUAUUAAACACACUUUGCAUUUAAGACAUUUUCAGGGCUGGGGAUGUGGCUCAAGCGGUAGCGCGCCCGCCUGGCAUGCGUGCGGCCCGGGUUCGGUCCUCAGCACCACAUACAAACAAAGAUGUUGUAUCCACCGGAAACUAAAAAAUAAAUAUUAAAAUUCUCUCUCUCCCUCUCUCUUUAAAAAAAAAAAAAAGACAUUUUCAACUUAUGUCGGGUUCAUCAGGACAUAGCCCCACAGUAACUGAGGUGCAUCUGCACAUAUGUCUCAGUUUGUGGACCCACGCCCCUGAGGAUAGCCAUUUUCUCCCAGCCCCCAGUUUUUGACUACUACAAAUAAAGCUGCCAUGAACAUUCAUUGUACAUGUCUUUGACUAGACAAAUAAUUUUAUUAAACUUGCGUGAAUACCAAGGUGUGAAACUGCUG